UACGUAGGGGGCAAGCGUUGUCCGGAUUUAUUGGGCGUAAAGAGCGUGUAGGCGGCCAGGUAGGUCGGUUGUGAAAACUAGGGGCUCAACCUCUAGACGUCGACCGAAACCAUCUGGCUAGAGUCCGGAAGAGGAGAGUGGAAUUCCUGGUGUAGCGGUGAAAUGCGCAGAUAUCAGGAAGAACACCCGUGGCGAAGGCGGCUCUCUGGGACGGUACUGACGCUGAGACGCGAAAGCGUGGGGAGCGAACAGG
This 253-nucleotide ribosomal RNA is filed under the name uncultured bacterium. Its description in RNAcentral is "partial 16S ribosomal RNA". It matches the Rfam family "Bacterial small subunit ribosomal RNA", at positions 524 to 776 of the family's 1533-position model. The record is from RNAcentral.